Molecule: ribosomal RNA, 483 nt
Filed under: uncultured bacterium
Lineage: Bacteria
Description: partial 16S ribosomal RNA
Rfam family: Bacterial small subunit ribosomal RNA
Source: RNAcentral
ACUCAAAUGAAUUGACGGGGAGGCGCACAAGCAGUGGAGCGUGUGGUUUAAUUCGAUACAAAGCGAAAAACCUCACCAGGGUUUGACAUGGACCUGCAAGCGCACGGAAACGUGUGACCUUCGAGGGUGGUCCACAGAUGCUGCAUGGCUGUCGUCAGUUCGUGGCGUGAGCUGUCCCCUUAAGUGGGUAAACGAACGCAACCCGCACCGUAUGUUAAAUAACUCAUAUGGAACAGCCCGGCUUUGCCGGGAGGAAGGCGCGGAUGAUGUCAAGUCAGCACGGCUCUUACACCCUGGGCUACACACACCCUACAAUGGCGAAUAACAACGAGUUGCAAACUGGUAACAGUAAGCUAAUCUCUGAAAUUUCGCCCCAGUUCAGAUCGAGGUCUGAAAUUCGACCUCGUGAAGUCGGAAUUGCUAGUAAUCGCGGAUCAGCGGGCCGCGGUGAAUACGUUCUCGCCUCUUGUACACACCGCCCGU